Molecule: non-coding RNA, 31 nt
Filed under: Homo sapiens (human)
Lineage: Eukaryota; Metazoa; Chordata; Mammalia; Primates; Hominidae
Source: RNAcentral
UACUGUGUCCAUCCCCACAUACGACCUCAUC